UGGGUUCACAUGUAGCACUCGUUGAUCCUUAAUUGGAAAUAGGCGAGGUAGAUGUAGCACUCGUUGAUCCUUAAUUGGAAAUAGGCGAGGUAGAUGUAGCACUUGUUGAUCCUUAAUUGAAAAUAGGCGAGGUAGAUGUAGCACUCGUUGAUCCUUAAUUGGAAAUAGGCGAGGUAGUAAACGGUGAUCCUUCAUUGGAAAUAGACGUAGCACACGUUGAUCCUUAAUUGGAAAUAGGCG
This 240-nucleotide long non-coding RNA is filed under the name Lathyrus oleraceus (garden pea). RNAcentral describes it as "Pisum sativum (pea) long non-coding RNA (PSAT_LNC012181)". Lineage: Eukaryota; Viridiplantae; Streptophyta; Magnoliopsida; Fabales; Fabaceae. The record is from RNAcentral.